UACAGAGGUCCCGAGCGUUGUUCGGAUUCAUUGGGCGUAAAGCGCACGUAGGCGGAUUUUUAAGUCAGGGGUGAAAUCCCGGGGCUCAACCUCGGAGCUGCCUUUGAUACUGGAGAUCUUGAGUCCGGAAGAGGUAAGUGGAACUGCGAGUGUAGAGGUGAAAUUCGUAGAUAUUCGCAAGAACACCAGUGGCGAAGGCGGCUUACUGGUCCGGAACUGACGCUGAGGUGCGAAAGCGUGGGGAGCAAACAGG
RNAcentral lists this ribosomal RNA (253 nucleotides) under uncultured bacterium. RNAcentral's name for it is "partial 16S ribosomal RNA". It matches the Rfam family "Bacterial small subunit ribosomal RNA", at positions 524 to 776 of the family's 1533-position model. The record is from RNAcentral.